ACGGGAGGCAGCAGUGAGGAAUAUUGGUCAAUGGACGGAAGUCUGAACCAGCCAAGUCGCGUGCGGGAUGAAGGCCCUACGGGUCGUAAACCGCUUUUGUACGGGGAUAAAGUCACCCACGUGUGGGUGUUUGUAGGUACCGUAAGAAUAAGGAUCGGCUAACUCCGUGCCAGCAGCCGCGGUAAUACGGAGGAUCCGAGCGUUAUCCGGAUUUAUUGGGUUUAAAGGGAGCGUAGGCGGGUUUUUAAGCGUGUUGUGAAAUGUCGUGGCUCAACCUCGGCACUGCAGCGCGAACUGGAGACCUUGAGUGCGCCGGAAGUAGGCGGAAUUCGUCGUGUAGCGGUGAAAUGCUUAGAUAUGACGAAGAACUCCGAUUGCGAAGGCAGCUUACUGUCGCGUAACUGACGCUGAAGCUCGAAAGUGCGGGUAUCGAACAGGAUUAGAUACCCUGGUA
RNAcentral lists this ribosomal RNA (454 nucleotides) under uncultured Prevotella sp. RNAcentral describes it as "bacterial SSU rRNA". It matches the Rfam family "Bacterial small subunit ribosomal RNA", at positions 341 to 792 of the family's 1533-position model. Lineage: Bacteria; Pseudomonadati; Bacteroidota; Bacteroidia; Bacteroidales; Prevotellaceae. The record is from RNAcentral.